RNAcentral lists this ribosomal RNA (484 nucleotides) under uncultured bacterium. Its description in RNAcentral is "partial 16S ribosomal RNA". It matches the Rfam family "Bacterial small subunit ribosomal RNA", at positions 28 to 507 of the family's 1533-position model. The record is from RNAcentral.
AUUGAACGCUGGCGGCAUGCUUUACACAUGCAAGUCGAACGGCAGCGCGGGCUUCGGCCUGGCGGCGAGUGGCGAACGGGUGAGUAAUGCAUCGGAACGUGCCCAGCAGUGGGGGAUAGCCCGGCGAAAGCCGGAUUAAUACCGCAUACGACCUGAGGGUGAAAGCGGGGGACCGAAAGGCCUCGCGCUAUUGGAGCGGCCGAUGUCGGAUUAGCUAGUUGGUGGGGGAAAGGCUUACCAAGGCGACGAUCCGUAGCUGGUCUGAGAGGACGACCAGCCACACUGGGACUGAGACACGGCCCAGACUCCUACGGGAGGCAGCAGUGGGGAAUUUUGGACAAUGGGGGCAACCCUGAUCCAGCCAUGCCGCGUGCGGGAAGAAGGCCUUCGGGUUGUAAACCGCUUUUGUUCGGGAAGAAAUCCUCUGGGCUAAUACCCCGGGGGGAUGACGGUACCGGAAGAAUAAGCACCGGCUAACUACGUG